RNAcentral lists this long non-coding RNA (498 nucleotides) under Bos taurus (domestic cattle). Its description in RNAcentral is "long non-coding RNA NONBTAT019272". Lineage: Eukaryota; Metazoa; Chordata; Mammalia; Artiodactyla; Bovidae. The record is from RNAcentral.
AAAUAAACCAAGAGUUUUAGGGGCUAACUGCACGCUGUGAAAUUAAUGUUAGAUAGUAACAGCUUGCAUAUUACUAACUACUCUUGUUUGCAAUAGCUUAUCUCUGUAAUAGAUGCAUUGUUGUCUCAUUAUAAAGUAAUGUAUUUACAAGAGACAGGAAAAAAGGAUAAAGGGAGGAAAAAUCAGAACCAUAAAGGGAUCAGUACACUGUCUUUAUGUUUAAGUGCCAUUUUAGUGAAAAGAUCAAAGGCCCUGUGUAUGUUGGCAUAAUCCCAUCAGUACUCACCAUCACACGAUUCAUAGAAGCACUUUAAGCAACUCGUCCUACCAGUAUUUUUUGAGAUUCUUCAUAACCAGAUGGCAAGCACAUUCCUAGCUGCUUUUGGUUAGAAGGAUAACCUGUCAGACAUUUUCUUCAUGUUUUUGAUGGUCCCACCUGUUGGAGAAAGAAAAAAAAGCAUAGGUCAUCCAAGUCAAUGAACUUAGAUUCUCAUGUGG